This 429-nucleotide ribosomal RNA is filed under the name Chloroflexota bacterium. Its description in RNAcentral is "Chloroflexi bacterium partial 16S ribosomal RNA". It matches the Rfam family "Bacterial small subunit ribosomal RNA", at positions 355 to 776 of the family's 1533-position model. The record is from RNAcentral. Lineage: Bacteria; Bacillati; Chloroflexota.
UGGGGAAUAUUGCACAAUGGGCGCAAGCCUGAUGCAGCCAUGCCGCGUGUGUGAAGAAGGCCUUCGGGUUGUAAAGUAUUUUCAGCGGGGAGGAAGGUGGUAAGGUUAAUAACCUUAUCAAUUGACGUUACCGACAGAAGAAGCACCGGCUAACUCCGUGCCAGCAGCCGCGGUAAUACGGAGGGUGCAAGCGUUAAUCGGAAUUACUGGGCGUAAAGCGAGCGCAGGCGGUUUCUUAAGUCUGAUGUGAAAGCCCCCGGCUCAACCGAGGGGGGUCAUUGGAAACUGGGGGACUUGAGUGCAGAGGAGGGGGGGGGGAUUCCAUGUGUGGCGGUGAAAUGCGUAGGUAUAUGGAGGAACACCAGUGGCGAAGGCGGCUCUCUGGUCUGUAACUGACGCUGGGGCUCGAAAGCGUGGGGAGCAAACAAG